RNAcentral lists this ribosomal RNA (600 nucleotides) under uncultured bacterium. RNAcentral's name for it is "bacterial SSU rRNA". It matches the Rfam family "Bacterial small subunit ribosomal RNA", at positions 887 to 1482 of the family's 1533-position model. The record is from RNAcentral.
CGCAAGGUUGAAACUCAAAGNAAUUGACGGGGGCCCGCACAAGCGGUGGAGCAUGUGGUUUAAUUCGACGCAACGCGAAGAACCUUACCAGGGUUUGACAUGCCGGUAGUACCGACCUGAAAGGGAAGGGAGCCCGCAAGGAAGCCGGCACAGGUGGUGCAUGGCUGUCGUCAGCUCGUGUCGUGAGAUGUUGGGUUAAGUCCCGCAACGAGCGCAACCCUCGCCCUCUGUUGCCAGCGGGUCAAGCCGGGCACUCUGAGGGAACUGCCUCGGUCAACGAGGAGGAAGGCGGGGACGACGUCAAGUCAUCAUGCCCCUUACGCCCUGGGCUACACACGUGCUACAAUGGCCGGUACAGAGGGCUGCAAACCCGCGAGGGGGAGCUAAUCCCAUAAAGCCGGUCUAAGUUCGGAUUGCAGGCUGCAACUCGCCUGCAUGAAGGAGGAAUCGCUAGUAAUCGCGCAUCAGCACGGCGCGGUGAAUACGUUCCCGGGCCUUGUACACACCGCCCGUCACACCACGAAAGCCGGCUGUACUCGAAGCCGCCGAGCUAACCCGCAAGGGAGGCAGGCGCCAAAGGUAUGGUCGGUGAUUGGGGUG